UGAGGAAUAUUGGUCAAUGGUCGAAAGACUGAACCAGCCAAAUCGCGUGAAGGAUGAAAGUAUUAUGUAUCGUAAACUUCUUUUGCAGGGGAAUAAAAGACAGCACGUGUGCUGUUUUGCAUGUACCUUGCGAAUAAGCAUCGGCUAACUCCGUGCCAGCAGCCGCGGUAAUACGGAGGAUGCAAGCGUUAUCCGGAUUUAUUGGGUUUAAAGGGUGCGUAGGUGGUUGUUUAAGUCAGCGGUGAAAUCUUGACGCUUAACGUCAAUAUUGCCGUUGAUACUGGACAACUUGAGUCCAGACGAGGCAGGCGGAAUUCGUAGUGUAGCGGUGAAAUGCUUAGAUAUUACGAAGAACUCCAAUAGCGCAGGCAGCUUGCCAGACUGAUACUGACACUGAAGCACGAAAGUGUGGGAAUCAAACAGGAUUAGAUACCCUGGUAGUCCACACUGUAAACGAUGAUUACUCGCUGUUUGCAAUAUACCGCAAGCGGCCUAGCGAAAGCAUUAAGUAAUCC
Molecule: ribosomal RNA, 515 nt
Filed under: uncultured bacterium
Lineage: Bacteria
Description: bacterial SSU rRNA
Rfam family: Bacterial small subunit ribosomal RNA
Source: RNAcentral